UUCACUAGAAAAGUUUUGUGGUAGAGAAACCUCGUGAGACAAUCUACGAUAUAUUUAUAGAGAAUACAACGAAAUACGUAUAUUCAUAAAUAAUAUAGGAAAAAACGAAACUGAGAAACUCUAUCUGUUUUUGCGUCAGACAAUAAGAUAAGAAUCUUUCGGAAUGAUUUUCGGGACAGAAACGAAACAAACCGUAACGUUCGGUGUGAGAAAGAUCCGAAAUAAAACAUCUCACGAUUCUAGGCAGACGAAUCGCUGUCCGCCGAAAAACGAAAGCUCGGAAAUCCCACGGUGUGUUUUAGACCAGAAAAUCCAAGAUCCACCUAUCCCUCGGUACUUGAAAUCGCAGCGGCACAAUUUUUGUUACAUGUCCAGCGAUGUUCCGCGCAUAGAAUAUACACUUAAAAGCUUCACCAGCAACACUUGCACGAUCACUGAGUUCACUUCAGACCACUCGAAACGGAGACGAAAGUCGGUAUAUACACGAGCAAAAGUUGUAGCAGCUUAGCGCGGCUGUACGCAUAUCGGGAAGUCGAGAAAUUCUUGGGCCGAAGAUCGGCUCGUAUAGUUUGGAGCGUGGCUUGGCUAAAGCAGGCGGCAGGUCGACGCAAAUCGGAUGAGAAACGGGCUUGGCGGCCUGCGGGGAAGAGUAUACGAAGCCUGCUUGAGUGAACGUGUCGCGGACAGUGGGAAAUGGUAGGGGCACCACGGACCUACGCUAGAGGACCCGGAGAAUAGUAGGGAGCGCGCAGCAUGCGCGUGCCUGCGCACCGGUUUUCGGCUUCGCUAGUGAUGGGCCCGAUCUCGAGCCAUCAACAUGUAUCCAGUAUUUGCAUUUAUCGUUUUAAUAGUAAACACGGAUCAUGGAUUUCUACGUAAAUUCAUAUUCUUUUAGCAUAUAAUUUAAAAUGUAGGACCUCGGUAGAAAAUUGUUUCACCUACCAACUAUUAUAGAAAGCAUUGUACCUUGAAUAUUCUAUGUGCUCUUUCAUUUUAGUGUAUUUCUAAGAAAAACAGGUGUAUCUGUAAAAAAAAAAAAAAGAAAAAAAGAGAAAAAGAACGUCAAGUUUCGUUUCCACCCUAACCUUAAUUCAAAUUCUUCGGACUAAAGGUCUUCAAGUACAAACGGUACAUAACAUCUUAAUAUUUUGUAUAUUAUACAUGAUCUUUUAGUAGCGAACUGUUAACAAACACCUAAGUUGCUAGAAACACCGUAAAGUAAGCGUUCAUAUAUGUAUAUUGAUUAUUGAUUAUUUCACCAUACGUUCGAAUGGUAUCGUUAUGUUUGUAUAUGUAGAAAGUUGUAACGAAAGAGACAUCAACAUAGUAUGAUAUUUACCUCUUAAGCGGUAGCGAAUGUACGUACAUAAUACUCAUACGUGCACAUAAUAUAUAUACACUGCAGAGCCAAAAUACGUGUAUCAAGUUUAAGGAUUCAAUUUAAACAUUUACGUCCACAUUCUACAUCUCCGCAUAUCAUAUGUUAUUGCGUUACGCGCAAUUACUUACGAACAAUUCUAACCUAAAGUAUUAAUGUUUACGCUAGUUCAAUGGAUUAGAAGAAAGGUGAUCUCAGUUAUUUGUAGAUUUUAAGAUAUCAAGGGCUGAGAGAUUUCGCAUAACAAGGAAAGAUUUGAAAUUGAUCAAUUGAAUUAAAAUAUGAAAUACUGUCACAUUCUAGCUGUUUUUAACGAUAGUUUAGUUUCCAUCGAUGCGAUAUAACGUAACGAAUUAGCUCGUAACGUCUUAACUUAUUUUCACAGAGUCCUCGAUUAUUUCGAAAUUAUUCACUUUGUUCGUUAUGAAUAAAUAUAAUAACAAUUACAAACCUUAACAAAUACGGUAGCGAUACAACUGAUUUUUACUUGGUUUGAGACACCCGUUAUGUGAAAGUCACAUCUGGACUUGAAGCACGUGCGCGUAUACGACGAUGAAGGCACGUAUUAUAAGCAGAUCAGUACGAGAUGCUGAAAGUAGCCAAAUUGGCGUAUCAACAAAACAAGCACGUCAAGUCCCAUUCUACUACCUGCGAAUCCAGAAGAAAGCUAGACCGGGGGGACACAAAAGAGCGAUACCUGAGCCAGAAAGACACAUUCCAGCUGCUUGUGAGGUGUGUCAUAUUCCAGCUAAACUGGCGCUUUUCCUUGCGUAUGUCCUUAGCGAUGGCUUUAAGCCUCUAGUCAAUUGGGAUAAUAUUUUUCUAAUGAGAAUCUCGCUUUUAAUUGCCAUUCAUAUUAUUAAUAUUUAUAAAUAUUAUUUUCCUUAAAUUAAUGAUAAUAUUACGUUAUAAAUAUAUAUUGUAAUAUUAAUAUUAUCGAUAUUAUACGAUAUACGUUUAAUACUGAAAUAUUUGUUACAUUUUUAACA
Molecule: long non-coding RNA, 2367 nt
Organism: Bombus pascuorum
Lineage: Eukaryota; Metazoa; Arthropoda; Insecta; Hymenoptera; Apidae
Exons: 2
Source: RefSeq, a predicted model, not a curated record